CGAUAGGGUAGAGGCUGCAUUGUUUAAGAGUAGCACAUGCGAGAGUGACGUCAGAGACCAUGUGUGAAAGGAAGCAUUGCCGAAGUCUGACAGGUAUGGUCGAAUUCCUGCUGGCUGGGUUUAUUCCGAAUAGGGAUAAUACUGUCAAUCGUCGGUUCUAAGAUUGAUGAGCUACAAUCGUA
RNAcentral lists this non-coding RNA (182 nucleotides) under Bacillus sp. (in: firmicutes). Its description in RNAcentral is "Bacillus sp. Lysine sequence". It matches the Rfam family "Lysine riboswitch aptamer". Rfam says of the family: Riboswitches are metabolite binding domains within certain messenger RNAs that serve as precision sensors for their corresponding targets. Allosteric rearrangement of mRNA structure is mediated by ligand binding, and this results in modulation of gene expression. Lineage: Bacteria; Bacillati; Bacillota; Bacilli; Caryophanales; Bacillaceae. The record is from RNAcentral. RNAcentral also lists the same sequence under 1 other name.